CACGUAGGGUGCGAGCGUUGUCCGGAAUUAUUGGGCGUAAAGAGCUCGUAGGCGGUGUGUCGCGUCGGCCGUGAAAACCUGCAGCUUAACUGUGGGCUUGCGGUCGAUACGGGCAUCACUGGAGUUCGGCAGGGGAGACUGGAAUUCCUGGUGUAGCGGUGAAAUGCGCAGAUAUCAGGAGGAACACCGGUGGCGAAGGCGGGUCUCUGGGCCGGAACUGACGCUGAGGAGCGAAAGCGUGGGGAGCAAACAGG
RNAcentral lists this ribosomal RNA (254 nucleotides) under uncultured bacterium. Its description in RNAcentral is "partial 16S ribosomal RNA". It matches the Rfam family "Bacterial small subunit ribosomal RNA", at positions 524 to 776 of the family's 1533-position model. The record is from RNAcentral.